GGUAUCUCAGGAGCUGCAGAUGACAAAGUUGUGAUGUUUAGUUUGGAUCAUUCCACGGGGACAUGCCUGGUGAAGAAAGAAAUUACUUUGGAACGGGCUGGGAUAGCAAAGGUCUCUAUUCGGCCAGAUAACAAGAUUGCUGCAACUGCUGGCUGGGAUCACAGAGUGCGGAUAUAUAAUUAUCGAAAAGGAAAUCCUCUUGCUAUAUUGAAGUACCAUCAGGCCUUGUGUAAUGCUGUAUCAUACUCGGACGACUGUAAG
This 261-nucleotide unclassified non-coding RNA is filed under the name Hevea brasiliensis (rubber tree). Lineage: Eukaryota; Viridiplantae; Streptophyta; Magnoliopsida; Malpighiales; Euphorbiaceae. The record is from RNAcentral.